CACCAGUUAACACUUGGAGUGCAGAUCUUAGAUUAGUUAGCUCGCUAAAUCUAUUGACAACGUUUUUUGACUAGGUAAUAUUGAGCAUUCAAAGUUAAAUAAAAAAAGAAAAGAAAGAGAGGAUUUCACAAUGUUGCCAAAUUUUCUAAACAGCAAUAUGUGACGCUGAAAUGAUCCGAUGUCCCGAACUUGUAUCUGCAUGUUGAAGAUUGCAUGAAAUUGAACAGAGUUAAUCUAACGAGAAUAAUGUCAGUCGUUUUAUUCCGCCGAUCUCCGUCUAAUCUUCGAAUGCCUAGAGAGCGCAGAAUUGUUCGAGUUAGAGUUAAUCAGCAAGUGAGUUAUAGCCGAUUGCAUUGAGUGUGUACGUAAAGGUAUUUUUUUUU
Molecule: long non-coding RNA, 383 nt
Filed under: Mytilus galloprovincialis (Mediterranean mussel)
Lineage: Eukaryota; Metazoa; Mollusca; Bivalvia; Mytilida; Mytilidae
Source: RNAcentral